CUGUUCCACGUGUGCAUGUAUGUAUGUAUGUACGCGCGUUCGUCUCUUGUCUCUGUACCGACGACGAUGACCGCGAGUCGUGCAGCUUUCGUUUCGACAGCGUAGUCCGUGAACCGGUGUCCCGUAGCGACUUCGUCGUGACUGCCUCGGAGAACGUCUAGUACUGCCUUUGCUUGAUUGACGGACGUCGAGGGCGAAACAGAGCGAAGGUGCUGCAAUGCGCUGCCUUGCCACGACAGCACAAGAGGCUCAUCCACGAUCGCCGCGCGAGGAGAAAAAAAUUUGCUGCGGAAGAACUGAUCGUGCGUUUUCAUGCACUACAGUCGCUACAGUUCGACAUGGUUAACUUGCACCAAGUCGUCCAAUGUUCGGCUUUGAGAGCAACACACUAGGAUGACUGAAGGACGUAACACUUCUGGACGGGAAUUACAUGUUCAAGAAUUGUUUUGAAAUGUACAAGGAAGAUAUUGGCAUUCUCCUUGCAGCCAUCAGCUGUUCAACAUCUGCGAGCUGCAAAGGCUCUCCUGUAUGACAAGGAAGCAGUAGACGCGGCAUUCGCAAUGCUCAUUUUAUGUGCUUCCAAGGGAUGCGGCCAAAGGACGACCUGCAGAUGUGCGAGUCACGUUUAUGGGAGCUGCAAAAAAGAAUUAAAGUGUAUCCCCAGUG
This is a long non-coding RNA of Rhipicephalus sanguineus (brown dog tick), 666 nucleotides long. RefSeq lists it as uncharacterized. The record is from RefSeq and is a predicted model, not a curated record. NCBI's taxonomy places the organism in Eukaryota, Metazoa, Arthropoda, Arachnida, Ixodida, Ixodidae. The transcript is spliced from 4 exons.